Long non-coding RNA from Eucalyptus grandis, 3327 nucleotides. RefSeq lists it as uncharacterized. The record is from RefSeq and is a predicted model, not a curated record. The transcript is spliced from 2 exons. Lineage: Eukaryota; Viridiplantae; Streptophyta; Magnoliopsida; Myrtales; Myrtaceae.
UAUUUUUCAGGAGGCUUUAUUUCAAGAUAACUGAAUUUUGGUUGACUACAGAUGUUAGAACCGAAAUUUUCCCACCCUGCAUGUGCUAAGAAUUUACAGUUCAUGUAUGCAAAGCUAGAUAGAUAGUAUGCAGAUGCUCGAGACAAGUCUGUACAAACUACACACAUUUGAUGUUCGUAUCUGAGGAAAUAAUUAGACCAGCAAGCUUCUUGACAAGUUGAUUCAUAAUCAAAUCAUGCAUCCCAAUGUUAGUACUUUGAAAUAUGACAGAGCACACAAGUCUUGCACUUCAAAAAUAUGAUAUUUAUCUGCUUUUUCUGCAGAGAACAAUGAUCUUGGACGUCGACUGUAGCGGUGAGUCCAAUUGACUUGCAUAAGAACGUGACUUGAAACAUCAGACAGAAAGGUAGGUUCUCCUGACUCCUGAAUUUUUUUCUUCUUGGUAAGUGCCUCCCCAACACUACAACUGCAUGCACUUCACUUGCAGCUUUUAGAGACCAGCAUUGCACAUCUUUUCUUGAGUACCUCCAAUUUUCAGCAAUAGCAGGGUCUUCAGGUACUUCCACUAUUCCAGCAAUCUGUAUUAAACACUGUUUGGUAUUAGCACAUUUUCUGUUGAUUAUUACUUAUUGUGGAGAUGAGUCUAUAUAUAUGAUAUUAAAAAGGAACGUGGCAAUUCAACACUUCACAUGGCAGCAUCUAGUAUUCAAUUUUGGCUAAAGUAUGUUUAGCAAGAGAGCACUACUGCAAUAUGAGCGCACCAUGAUAAAAUGCAUUGGAUAUGAGUAAUCAAUGGGCGACGGCAUUCAUCGCAGUCAUAAGCACCCACAUUUGUGUUCCUUAUCUUCUUGCAAAGGGCACAAUAGUACCACUCACUGGUAUCAUCUUUGAUGAACGAAACGUGAAUUGUGAGUUGAUGGAAGUUAAUGACUAUCUUUUACUGUAGUGGAAGGCAAUCUGUGCACACAACUGCAAUAGCCAAACCUGCAAAAUUUACCACAGACAUUGCAUAUUAGCAUGGUUAGGUAGAUUUAAAACAAGAAAGAGUAUAUGAUUGUGGAGGUGAUGUUUCAAAGUGGGCCUUUCAAAAGUGCAUUGAGUGUUGAAGUUGUUGUCACUUCCGUGCAGUGAAAGACAGAGUGUCGACACUCUUCAUGAUGUAUGUCAACAGUGCUCCUCCUGAUACAAGAAGAAAAAGGAUGUGCAGGGUGAGCAGAUCAGAGAUUCAAGUUGUUGCUAGAAUUGUUGCUUCACUCAGAGAUUCAAGUUGCCGGGGCCAAGAAGAUAACAAUUUCAGAUGUCAAGUGUUAGCAGUGAUUCCAUUGACUUGCAUAAGAGCAUAAGUUGAAACAUCAAACAGAAAGGUGGUCUCCUGCCUCCCCAUUUCUUUUCUUCUGGAUAAGCGUGCCUCCCCAAAUCUGCAAUUACAUGCACUUCGUUUGCAGCUUUUUGAGACCAGCACUGCAUGUCUGUUUUUUUAGUAUUGUUCAUUUGUGGGUUCGCUCUGUCCUUUUUUUCCUGCAGAAUUGCAAUUUUUCCAUCUAGUUCAGCAAUAGCGGGGGGUAUUCAGGUACUUCCAUUACUUAAAAAAUUUUGGUAUUACCAUAUUUUCUGUUAAUUAUAACUUAUUGUGGAGGGAGUCUAUAUAUGAUGUUAAAAAAAGAAAAAGGAACAGGGCUAUUCACCAAAUCACGUAGCUGCAUCGUGUAUCUGUUUGUUGGCUAAAGCCAGAGCACUUCUGUGAUGAAAGCAUACCGUGGGUAAAACACAUUUGAUAUGAGUAAUCAAUGCGCAAGGGCAUUCAUUUCAGAUGGAAGCACCCAGAUUCAGGUCUUUUUCUCUCAAAGGUUACAGUAGUACUUACCAUCAUCGUCUUUGAUGAACGUAGCAUAGAGUGUGAGUUGACAGAGGUGAUGGCGAUCUUUCAUUGUUGGUGGUAACCGUGGAAAGCAAUCAUGAUAGACAUUAAGAUUGCAGUGCACAAGAACGUGAAAGUCAAAUGUGCAAAAUUUGCCAGACACUGCAUAGGAAGCAUGGUUCAGUAGAUCUUUGUGGAGGUGACGUUUCAAAGUGGGCUUUCCAGAAGUGCAUGGAAUGUUGGAGUCUAACUCACAUUCUGCGCAGUGAAAGAAAGCUUCAACGCUCUUCACGACAUGCGUCAGUGAGCUUUCUUCCUGAUAUGGGAAGCAGUGGAUGUGCAGGGCGAAUGGGUUGUUGCAUAACUGAGGGCAAUUCAGCACAUGAUUUAUGGAGCAGAAAAGAGCAGCACUGCUCGAGGCAGUGAUGCUCUAAACCUAUUGAAAUAUUCAUGACAAGCCUUGAGCGCACCAUCCUUCCUAUGACCCAGCUCCAGCGGCAGCAGAUGAUUGUGAAUUGGAGAAAGAAAAGGCAAUCCAGACAAGCAUAGAACUCACCUAGCAUGUUCCAUCAAGCUUCGCACUAAUCUGUUUCAUCCUUCUUGUGGAAGGACACCAGUAAAGGCUGAUGGGCGAAAUGGUAAAAAAACAAGCCUUUCUCACCCUUCAGAUCUUGUGAACGUAGAGUUAUAGCUGCGCAGUCCAUGUCAAGGCUGAAAUUGCAUUAGCUGCAGCAGGAAACCAUAUCGCAGGCAUUACAUUGGAGGUCUACAGAUUGAUUGAAAGCAAGAGAGAUGGUGAUCAUUGAAAGACAGGCAUUGCUUAUUUGGUGUAGAUUUGGCACAGCUCUUGUGAAUGAAGAAUAUGCACUGUGUAGCAUCCAUAGACCUCCUUGCAGGCUUUGCAUUCGAUUCUACUUUUCAUCCCAAGAUGCUAAUGAGCAAAAUGUUGGAUGGUCACAUACUCAGAAUCUUCAUCAGGCUUAGUUGUGACUAGGCAGACAGCAAUAUUGGACCGUGCUGUAAUGCUCAACAAUCCGAAUGGCAAGAAGGAAAGCCUCGUCACAUGCAUGGCAACCAUGACGAUCCUCCUUCUCAUCUGCCUACUAGGCAUUCAAGCGGGGGCAGCAGGUGAAACGGGUGUUCUCGGGUGAAGAGCAUGCUAAAUUCAGCUUGACUAGUGAAAGAAGAUUCGACACGAUUCCCAGCAGUAGGGCUGCGCCGCGGAUCUGAGACCAGCACGCAAGACAUUCCAAGCAAGUGCAGCCUUCUUUGCGAAUCAAUACAUGACCAGCAAGGCAAUGGAGUUAUAGUUGCUGAGUGACAUCAACAAGAAGCAAAUGGGGUGAAAUGAAUCGUACCCAACUACCGUAUUAUUUGGUGUUGCAUUUCAGUGCUAAUUUGUACCAUUUUUUUUUAAUUAUCUAUGCAUUAAGGCAAUAGUUAAUAAAACUAAAAUGAAAUCUCAGCAA